RNAcentral lists this ribosomal RNA (496 nucleotides) under uncultured bacterium. RNAcentral describes it as "partial 16S ribosomal RNA". It matches the Rfam family "Bacterial small subunit ribosomal RNA", at positions 29 to 507 of the family's 1533-position model. The record is from RNAcentral.
AUGAACGCUGGCGGCGUGCCUAAUACAUGCAAGUCGAGCGAACAGAUGAGGAGCUUGCUCCUCUGACGUUAGCGGCGGACGGGUGAGUAACACGUGGAUAACCUACCUAUAAGACUGGGAUAACUUCGGGAAACCGGAGCUAAUACCGGAUAAUAUAUUGAACCGCAUGGUUCAAUAGUGAAAGACGGUUUUGCUGUCACUUAUAGAUGGAUCCGCGCCGCAUUAGCUAGUUGGUAAGGUAACGGCUUACCAAGGCAACGAUGCGUAGCCGACCUGAGAGGGUGAUCGGCCACACUGGAACUGAGACACGGUCCAGACUCCUACGGGAGGCAGCAGUAGGGAAUCCUCCGCAAUGGGCGAAAGCCUGACGGAGCAACGCCGCGUGAGUGAUGAAGGUCUUCGGAUCGUAAAACUCUGUUAUUAGGGAAGAACAAAUGUGUAAGUAACUAUGCACGUCUUGACGGUACCUAAUCAGAAAGCCACGGCUAACUACGUG